UCGACAGCUGAGAGACUAUUUUUUGCUAUGGCUGACUAAAUAUGGUCAGGGAAGAGAGGCACAAGAGAGUCUGUUUGCCUGGGAGUGCAUGUUUCAAAUGCUUAGCUGCCUAUAAAGCUCUAACAGCCUAGGCUGUGGCCACUGAGUCGGGAAGAAUAUAAGUUGGCUUCUGUGGUGACUAUUUGGAAGUCCUGACCUCGCUUGCAGACUUGACCUCUGGAUAUAACAAGGUAGCUUCAUUCCAGAUCUACCACUAACCCUGGAAAUUCAAACUCCUGUUCCUCCAAAAGAAUCCCAAAGCAAGAAAGACGCAGACUACUUCCUGAGGCACCAGAAGAACCCAGUAUAGUCUGGUGGGCACAGGAAGCUGGGUGAAUGGUUACAGCUAUUUGGGAGAAUGUGAGGUAAGGUUCUGUGCUCACUUAUACUGGGUGCUUACUUCACCCAGCUUAUAAAAGAAGUGCUGAGACAGCAGCAGUGUGAAAGACCAGUCAUGAUGCGGUGACUGCGAUGUCACUCUAGGUCACUACAUCUCUUCCCUGCAAGUGCUGCAGGACACUAGGCUCACAGGUAAAUCAAGCACAAGAACCGACUUGGAAGGCUGCUUCUGACUUUCUGCAUGCUUAUCUAAUAUUGACUGAUACAUAUUCUCACUGUUAAAUUAUUUAUAUCUGGGCAUAGGCUAAUUUCAAAGCUCAAAUUGAUAAUUUAGUUUUUAAAAUGCCAUUGUUCAAACAACAUGCCAGAUAACUUCAAAAAUAAACUGCAUCACUAAAGACAUGGUCUUUAUUGUUUUAGAUUAAACAAUUGUUUCAAUUGUGUCUCACUUCUCUAGCAAAUCUGCAUCCCUGCCUCCUGAGCACAACAGCUUCUAAAAGCUACUUCAAGAUUUAGGUUAUGACAUGUCUCCCCUCGCUUACUACUCAGGCCACAGACAUCUGCAUGCUGCUGCAUGAUGCAGGUCUCAGCAGCACACUGACUGAGGCCCGUGUUGGCAGCUCACUAGCUUUCUUCAUGGGCUGCAAACAUCCUAUUCCCCCACUUCCCUCCCAGCACUCCCUCUUCUAUAUUUUACCAAAGCUCAAAGCUUCUCAAUGUCUCCUUCUGAAUUAACCUUCAAAAUGUCUUAGUGACUAUAGGCCACUCCCAAAUUAUUUUUUUCUUGUGCUAAAUAUUCAAGGUAAAACCCAGAGAUUCACAGACUAAAGUGCUUCUCCUCUCUUAUGGAGGAUUUGGAAAAGUUAUUUUAGUACUUUUCCAUUAUAUUAAAAAUCAUUUUUAAAAAGUAAUCUCAUACAAACCGAGCACAUAACUAUUUGAAUUUGCAUUCAAUGCAAACAGAAACAGAACAAAAACUUGGCUAAAUGACUUGUAAUCUGUUACCUUGAAAAUAAAUUUCCAUUUAAGAACAUUAAUUCAAUUAAAUGAAAUGACACAAUGAAAUGACCCAAUUUCAAAGCCUGUCCUAACUGUAACUUGUUUCUUCCAAUAAGUUUUAAGUAGAAGUAUCUGGUUUACAAAAAUAAUUUAGACUAAAUUGAUUAUCAUCUGUCUGUAAAGGAUCUAGAAGCAAAUUAUAAAGAAGAGGGCUACACGACGGAGAGAGCAGCAAGCGUGCUAACAUUUCUGAAUACACUUAGGACGCUGCUGACUGCAUCUCUUGGAAGGAAAAGAAGAAGCAGGGCAAAGCAUGGCAGUGCUUAAAAGAACAAAGCAGAAGUGGCAUCGAUGGGAUCAGAGAAACUUUACUCACAAGUGUCUAAGUGAAAAGAAACUGAAGGAGACAAAACCAGAGGCCAACAUCCACCCAAUUUUCGCAGUAACUACAAGAGAACUACAAAUGGCUCACGUUGCUUACCGAGCACACACAUCAGCAACGGUGAAGGCCCGCAGGCAGGUGCCUGGGUAACCUGGGACGCACGCUAUUCCAAGUAAAGCUGCCUUUCACUGUUUAUCAAUCUUGAUUUACAGCAGAAAUUUUACCCAACUGAGAUAUAAUAACAGGACUAUCUAGGGGAAAACAUCUCUAUAAACAUCAAAUAUCUGGCUGGAGAUAUAACUGAAAAAUGUCUUGCAUAUACAAUGUCCUGGGCUCAAUCUCCAGUACCCCCAAUACAUAAACAAAAACACCAAGUAUCAGAAAAUAUGACCAAUGCUAUUCUAAGUUACAAUUCCUAACCCUACAGAUCAGCUUUUAAAUUUACAAUAUUUUGAUCUGCACCGUCAAGUCCAGGUUUCAAAGCAUACCAUCCAUAAACAUAAGGCACCUAGACAUACAUAUACAUAUAUAUUGGUUUUUCAAGACAGGGUUUCUCUGUAUAGCCCUGGCUGUCC
Molecule: long non-coding RNA, 2334 nt
Organism: Mus pahari (shrew mouse)
Lineage: Eukaryota; Metazoa; Chordata; Mammalia; Rodentia; Muridae
Exons: 3
Source: RefSeq, a predicted model, not a curated record